This 663-nucleotide ribosomal RNA is filed under the name Thriocerodes sp. cf. photo 29 NLG-2013. Its description in RNAcentral is "eukaryotic LSU rRNA". It matches the Rfam family "Eukaryotic large subunit ribosomal RNA", at positions 654 to 1270 of the family's 3401-position model. The record is from RNAcentral. Lineage: Eukaryota; Metazoa; Arthropoda; Insecta; Coleoptera; Cleridae.
UUGAAACACGGACCAAGGAGUCUAGCAUGUGCGCGAGUCAUUGGGAAUAACUAAACCUAAAGGCGCAAUGAAAGUGAAGGUUCGUCUCGCACGAACCGAGGGAAGAUGGGCGUGCCGUGAUCACCGCGGCCGCCCCGCACUCCCGGGGCGUCUCGUUCUCAACGCGAGAAGAGGCGCACCAAGAGCGUACACGCUGGGACCCGAAAGAUGGUGAACUAUGCCUGGUCAGGACGAAGUCAGGGGAAACCCUGAUGGAGGUCCGUAGCGAUUCUGACGUGCAAAUCGAUCGUCGGAACUGGGUAUAGGGGCGAAAGACUAAUCGAACCAUCUAGUAGCUGGUUCCCUCCGAAGUUUCCCUCAGGAUAGCUGGCGCUCGUCGCCUACGAGUCUCAUCCGGUAAAGCGAAUGAUUAGAGGCAUUGGGGUCGAAACGGCCUCAACCUAUUCUCAAACUUUAAAUGGGUGAGAUCUCCGGCUUGCUCGAACUACUGAAGCCGCGAGACACGGAUCAGAGUGCCAAGUGGGCCAUUUUUGGUAAGCAGAACUGGCGCUGUGGGAUGAACCAAACGCCGAGUUAAAGCGCCUAAAUCGACGCUUAUGGGAUACCAUGAAAGGCGUUGGUAACUUAAGACAGCAGGACGGUGGCCAUGGAAGUCGGAAUCCG